This 6107-nucleotide long non-coding RNA is filed under the name Salmo salar (Atlantic salmon). RNAcentral describes it as "lncRNA (ENSSSAG00000098168.1)". The record is from RNAcentral. Lineage: Eukaryota; Metazoa; Chordata; Actinopteri; Salmoniformes; Salmonidae.
GUCUCAGAGCGAGUGACGUCGCCGAUUGAAACGCUAUUAGCGCGCACCACCGCUAACUAACUAGCCAUUUCACAUCGGUUACAUAGGCAACAUCACCUCCGCCACUCUGACCCUCAACACGGGGUGUGUGCUUAGUCCCCUCCUAUACCCCCUGUUCACCCACAACUGCAUGGCCACUCACGACUCCAACACCAUUAAGUUUGCUAACGACACAACAUGGUAGGCCUGAUCACUGGUGGCGAUGGGACAGCCUACAGGGAGGAGGUCAGUGACCUGGCAGUGUGGAGCCAGGACAACAACCUCUCAAUGUCAGUAAGACCAAGGAGCUGAUCGUGGGAACGGAGGGCCCAGCACGCCCCUAUCCACACUGAUGGGGCUGCAGUGGAGCUGGUUGAGCGGUUCAAGUUUCUCGGUGUACAAAUCACCUACACUUGGUAUGGCAACAGCACCGCUCUCGAUCGCAUGGCGCUACAAAGGGUGGUGCAGAAAGCCCAGUACAUCACUGGGGCUGAGCUCCCUGCCAUCCAAGACCUCUAUUUCAGGUGGUGUGAAAGGAAGAUCCGGAAGAUCGUGUAACUCAGUAAAAUCUUUGAACUUGUUGCAUGUUGCGUUUAUAUUUCUGUUCAGUAUAUACACCUUGUUCAACUAUUCAUGGUUUACAAUUGAGUCCACAAUUAGUUGAGGUGUUAGUGAAGGGCUGGAACAAAUACCUGUAAACUCCUGUCCUGUGUAAAAACAACAACAACCGGUAGUUGUCAGGACUACAUUUUCCCUCAUGUACUAAACAAGCUUUUGAGGUUCCUCCUCUUGUUAUGUACCCCACUUGGGGAUGACUUAUUUUGUACAAUGGACUGUGUUCUAAAGACUCAUGCACAGAUACAGGAAAGCCAAUCAGUUAAUAUUUCUUACAAUUACAAGUAUUGUCUCGCCACGGUGUUGAGGCUUGGGCAACUGGGGGCUGCAGUUCAUCUGUCUAAUCCCCUGCAAGCAGAGAAAGGCAUUAAUAAUAUUAGAAUGGUGUAUUCAUUUCAUUUAAUAUAUAAUGAACAAAAAUAUAAAAGCAACAUGCAACAAGUUCAUAAAUGGACAUCAGUCAAUUUAAAUAAUGUCAUUAGGCCCUAAUAUAUGGAUUUCACAUGACUGGGCAGGGGCUCAGCCAUAGGUGGGCCUGGGAGGGCAUAGUCCCACCCACUGGGGAGCCAGACCCAGCCAAUCAGAAUGAUUUUUUCCCACAAAAAGUCUUUAUUACGGACAGAAAUACUCCUCAGUUUCAUCAGCUGCCUGGGUGGCUGGUCUCAGAUGAUCCCGCAGGUGAAGAAGCUGGAUGUGGAGGUCCAGAACUGCUGUGGUUACACGUGGUCAGCAGUUGUGAGGCCGGUCGGAUGUACUGCCAAAUUCUCUAAAACGAUGUUGGAGGUGGCUUAUGCUAGAGAAAUGAACAUUAAAUUAUCUGGCAAAAGGUCUGUUGGACAUUCCUGCACUCAGCAUGCCAAUUGCAUGAUCCCUCAAAACUUGAGACACGUGUGGCAUUAUGUUGUGUGACAAAACUGCACAUUUUAGUGUGUCCUUUUAUUGUCCCCAGCACUAGGUGCACCUGUAACAAUUAUGCUGUUUAAUCAGCUUCUUGAUAUGCCACACCUGUCAGGUGGGUGGAUUAUCUUGGCAAAGGAGAAAUGCUAACAACACCUUUGUAAUAUUGAGUUGCCCUCAAUGAAGGACUUUUAUUUUAAAAACGAACAACAAAUCCCCCUAUUGUGGCUAGCUUCACAUAGGUGCUAGCACUAUCACCUUCAAACUACUUAGCACGUUCACAUACUUGUCAUUGUAUAAAGAAAGAGACGACCAUGGCGAAUUGUGACUAUUUACAAACUCAGCUAACAUCUGUUUUGAACUCGCUUGUUAAAAUUGCGGUCGUAGAACUACUGCGAAUUGUAGAGGAUAGCGCCGUUGAACUUCGUCUGGAGGUGUCCAAGAGUAAAUUUGAGAACGAAGCACUGAAAAUUGAGAACGAAUCUAACAAAAAUAAGUUACAGAGUUUGGAAGCAGAACUGUGGACAGCGGGAAAUCGACCAUGUUCAAUAUGUUAUCGUUGUGUUGGUAUUCCAGCUCGCGGUAAAGGUGGAUGCGUCAGCCCCAAAAGAGAUAGAGAUGCUGCUGGUCCUCCUAAUUCUUCAGAGGAGGACAAUGCAUCAUCAUGGCUGCAACAAUCUGCUCAUACCAUGGAAGAGACUACAGCAGCCAUGGAGAGGGAUGGGAUUCACAUCGUUGUCAUUAAGAACGAAGCGGGGCAUGAAGGCACACAUCGGAAGAAAGACACACAGGCUGGAAGUUCAACAGAAGGUGAGCAGCCGUGUCCCAAAGUGGACAUGGUGUAUGGCAAGGAGUGGAGCCAAAGCCUGUGGCGAGACAGAGAUGCUGUCAAGGAGGACUCUGCAGGACCAUCGGUGACCCAGCGACAGUGGCUUACACCUGGGCAGUCAAGCUCUGUGGACUUACGAAAUCUGCGCCGGCGCCGAAGAGUAAGAACUCAACCGCAUCCGCAAAGGAGAGGGACCUACCUCAGGUACACCCCCGAGCAAAGGGCCAAGAUUGCGCGGAUGUGCAUGGAGGUGGGUGCACAGAUGGCCGCAGCCAUGAUGUCUGAGGAAUUGGGAAGACGCAUCAGCCCCAACACUGUGAGGUCCAUGAGGAUCAGCUACGAACAGACGGUCGAAAGCAUGGGCGUCCAGAAAGUGGAAGACCUACCCCAUUUGAGGCCAUUCAGAACAGACAUGUUUGAUGAGGAGAUUACUCGCUUCGUAAUGGUGAGGAGAAGAGCUGGAGGUCAGGUUAGCCCGUCCAUGCUGAUGGUAGCCACGCGAGACAUUGUGAUGCGCAGAAACCCGGAGAUGCUGGCAGAGAAUGGCGGUCAUAUCCUAAUCAGCACAAAUUGGGCCCGUUGUUGGCUCCGGCGGUUGGCAGGAAAUAGAAUCACGUCAAAGAGGUAGUGAAGAUAUUGCAGGAGUCCUCUACUGUUAGGACAGUGUUUUUACAUGAAUGAGAAUUCCUCAUGUCUGUGUGUUGAAGUUAAGGAAGAUGUGUAACAUUCCGUGUUGACUGGUGUCCGGUGUGAUGUUAGGAGAAUCUGCAUGCAGCAUGUAACUGGAUGCCAUUGUGCUGUGUUCUCUGAAGUUGGUGUUGGCAGUUCAUAUCUUUAGUAUUUACAUUUUCUGAAUAUUCAAACUUUUUGAAGCGAACUAUUCAGAUCAAUGCUUUUCAUAUAUUUCAUAAGGGGAUGGAUGGGUUUGGUGUUAUAACAAUGGUAUGUAACUUGGCUAAUGUCUUGUAUGAGGUAACCACAUACGGUUUUGUUAGCUUUUUAAAUUGGUGUGUAUUGUGUAUAUUGAUGUGUGUAUUGUGUAUAUUGAUGUGUGUGUGUGUAGUGUAAUUGAUGUUAUCAUGCAGGGCUCACCUGCAAAAGAGACCAUGGUAUCAGCAUGACUCCCUGUUUAAAUAAAGGUUAAAUUAAAUCAACUGUAUUAGAAGUUUAUGAAAAUAAAUAUAUAUACACCUCACAAUCCUUAGUGCCUCUUAUGUUUUAUUCAUUUAGUACCGUGAGAGAGAAUGUGUUUAUGCGAUUGUGCUACCACUACAGAGACGCAUCGGCAUAUGCCAUGAAAAAAGUAACAAAUGAAAGCUGUAACAUGUAAUAUGUCAAACACACAGGUCAAGACUGUUUCGGCUCAGAAAAGGCGGAGUGUUUGUGUAAAGAAGUCGGUCAUAGAAGAUGAACCUGCUGACUCAUCAGAUGCUGGUACCCAGCACCAGAACACCACUGAGUCCUGUGAUGUGGAGAAAAGUUGUGCAUUUGGAAGUUUUAAACCAGAAAGUUGUUUGAACUUUGAAGAAAACCACUUCUUGACUUCACCAGUCAACAUCAUGGUCCAGAAAUGUGUGAAGCUACCAGGUGCAGCAGCUGUCAUGGACACCCAAUUAGACAAGUCCAAGGACUUUGACAACAUGAACAACUCCGGAAGAAAGAAGAGAGGGAGAAAAAAUGGCCCUUGUAAAGGCAAUGUAAAUUACUGUUUUGUAUGUGGAGAGCCUCAAUCAAAGAUCUCCCGCCACUUGAAACAGCAUGAGAAGGAAAAUGCUGAAAUUGCUUAUGUCUUAAGUCUUGACAUAGCUUCAAGACAGCGGAAAGUGUUGCUGGAGAAACUGAGGAACAAGGGAAAUUUCCAACACAACACUAACGUCGUAAACAAGGGAUCCGGCUGUCUCAAAGUAAAAAGGAAACCCAAACCGAAUAGUGGCGCGAAGAGAUUUGAACCUUGUCUUUACUGUAAAGGCUACAGCUUUCAAUAAAGGGGAAGGCCUAAAAGUUGUUGCCACGGAGAAGGAUGGAAUAAAAGUACUUCGCAUCAAGAAGGAAAUAAAUGAAGGCACAGAACAUGACACACCAUGUCCAAUGACAGGUGAGCAGCCGUGUCCCAAAGUGGACAUGGUGUACGGCAAGGAGUGGAGCCAAAGCCUGUGGCGAGACGGAAAAGAAAUAGGAGACCAUAGCGACAGAACAGAGGAGAAAGAAACUCCAGGACCGUCAAUGACCCAGCAUCAGAACGGAGGUCCACUUCAGUGCAGUAAGCUGAAUCCAUCCACUCCUAACUUCAAAGUCUUCUGUGAUCCUGAACGAGACACGUAUCUCGACUAAUGACUUGAGGGAAUUUCUGAAUUCUGUUCUCCUUGUCACUGACUGGUCAUGACAGAUAGACGGCAACGUUAAGGAUCCUUGUCUUUACUUACUGGUUGGCCCACGGGACCUCCUAUAAAACUGUCUCAGAGACUUUCGGAAUCCCUCUGUCCAAUGCUACCUGACUCGUCCGCGACGUUGUGGACAAACUGGCCAAGCUGUCCCCUCUUCAGACGAGCUGGCUCUCAUGGUGGGUUUCGGGAAACUGGCCCUUCACCGGAGGUUUGAGAAGGCUGUGGGGGGCCAUAGUCGUGUGCCACGUCAGGGUCAAGAUCCCCAGUGCACCAUUCCCCCAACAAUGUCAAGGUGAGAAGCCCCUCCCCACCAUCAACUUCCAAGGGGUCUGCGACCACACAUGCCGCUUCAUCAAUGUCUUCGUGGGGCUGCCUGGGUCUAUGAGCGACUUGAAGGUGCUCAGGCAUAGUCCCCUGUGGAAAAGUGCUCCGAAGCACGACCAGUUUAACCAGCACCGUGCCAUGGCUCUCUUCUACUAACCGAGAGGACCUUCGACAUGAGAAAGUGCUGACACAUCUUCCUCCAGCCCCUCAAGCUCCACCCAAGCUUCAUCCCGAAAGUGCUUGCAAUGUGCACUGUGCUGCAUAACAUCUGCCUCCGGUCCGGGGACGUGCUGGAGCCAGUAAAGGUUGAGGACAGAAACAAGGUGACUGAGGCUCUGAAGGAGUGGCUAGUGUCGAAUGAGACCAGCAGAGAGGCGUUGAGGGACAGUUUGGCUUAACAGAUCUCUACAAUGAAAUGAAUGGCCUCAGUGAAUGAUGUGCAAGGGACAUCUGCACCGGCAAACAUGGCGGCAGUGCAAAAAGAAUAGGCUUACAACAUAGUGGUGAUGGAGAUUGAUUACUUCAGGAGCCCAUAAGCGGUGGUGGAACUGUCACUGCCGACCUUCUACGUUUUUCCUAAAACAAUUUAGCAAAGUCACCUCUCCUAUUCUAAUGCUAAUAUACAGUUCCAUGUAUAAGAUCCUCCACUUUAUUUCAAAUUUUUAUACUGUACAUGGUGAAGUGAAACACGAUUGAUUUUUUUUGUUGUUGGUAUGGUGUGAAUGUGGGACUGGUAUUCUAACUAUUAACUUGUUUUUUAAAAUAAUUGUUAUUACUGUAUGCAUAAUAAAAGCAUCCCCUGUGGUCUGCAGUGCAGCCCUGGAUGUGGUAUGCAUAUGUCUUUGAUAAAGCCUUCUUCAUUGUGUCACUUAAAGGGACAUUUUACCUUAGCGGAAAAUACAUGAUAAGUUCAUUAUGCCAGGCGUAUUUCAAACACUAAUGCAUUGUAUACCAGUGAUGAAACAGACCAAACCAUCCUUGUAUUCUUAUGUCGUUACUGAAUGCUUUUACCUUGUGUGGUGUUCGGGUCUGCGGGACCC